This 732-nucleotide ribosomal RNA is filed under the name uncultured Leptotrichia sp. RNAcentral's name for it is "bacterial SSU rRNA". It matches the Rfam family "Bacterial small subunit ribosomal RNA", at positions 28 to 776 of the family's 1533-position model. The record is from RNAcentral. Lineage: Bacteria; Fusobacteriati; Fusobacteriota; Fusobacteriia; Fusobacteriales; Leptotrichiaceae.
GAUGAACGCUGACAGAAUGCUUAACACAUGCAAGUCGAUGGGGAAGUGGUGCUUGCACCAUGGUAACCAUGGCGGACGGGUGAGUAACGCGUAAGGAACUUGCCUGCGGGACCGGGAUAACAGCAGGAAACUGCUGACAAGACCGGAUAAGGUCAUUAAGCCGCAUAGCUUAGUGAUGAAAGGAGACGCCUGCGGAGAGCCUUGCGCCCUAUUAGCUAGUUGGAGGGGUAACGGCCCACCAAGGCGAAGAUAGGUAGCCGGCCUGAGAGGGUGGACGGCCACAAGGGGACUGAGAUACGGCCCUUACUCCUACGGGAGGCAGCAGUGGGGAAUAUUGGACAAUGGGGGCAACCCUGAUCCAGCAAUUCUGUGUGCACGAAGACGGUUUUCGGAUUGUAAAGUGCUUUCAGCAGGGAAGAAGGAAGUGACGGUACCUGCAGAAGAAGCGACGGCUAAAUACGUGCCAGCAGCCGCGGUAAUACGUAUGUCGCGAGCGUUAUCCGGAAUUAUUGGGCAUAAAGGGCAUCUAGGCGGCCUUUCAAGUCAGGGGUGAAAACCUGCGGCUCAACCGCAGGCCUGCCUUUGAAACUGAUAGGCUGGAGUACCGGAGAGGUGGACGGAACUGCACGAGUAGAGGUGAAAUUCGUAGAUAUGUGCAGGAAUGCCGAUGAUGAAGAUAGUUCACUGGACGGUAACUGACGCUGAAGUGCGAAAGCCGGGGGAGCAAACAGG